UUAACACAUGCAAGUCGAACGAGAAAACCACUUCGGUGGCGAGUACAGUGGCGAACGGGUGAGUAACACGUGGGUAACGUACCAUCAGGAUGGGGGAUAACAGCUCGAAAGGGCUGCUAAUACCGCGUACGUCCAGAGGUUCAUCGGGACUUCUGGGGAUAGGCUUCGGCCGACUGAUGAUCGGCCCGCGUCCCAUUAGCUAGUUGGUGGGGUAAUGGCCUACCAAGGCUUCGAUGGGUAGCUGGUCUGAGAGGACGAUCAGCCACACUGGGACUGAGACACGGCCCAGACUCCUAUGGGAGGCAGCAGUGAGGAAUCUUGCGCAAUGGGGGAAACCCUGACGCAGCAUCGCCGCGUGAGUGACGAAGGCCUUCGGGUUGUAAAGCUCUGUCGGGAGGGAAGAAGGUCACUUCGGUGGCUUGACGGUACCUCGCAAGAAAGCACCGGCUAACUCC
Molecule: ribosomal RNA, 455 nt
Filed under: uncultured bacterium
Lineage: Bacteria
Description: bacterial SSU rRNA
Rfam family: Bacterial small subunit ribosomal RNA
Source: RNAcentral